CUGGUUUCUUCAUGGACCAGGCUAUUGGGCCAUUUUAUUCACUUCUUGGGCCAAGACCACUUGGCCCAAUCUGAAGUUCAAGGAAAAACGAGUGGGCUAGCCCAUUUUUUAUCAAGUAAAAGCCAACAAAAUGCAUGGGCUUCAAAUCUCUAGCCCAAAUUACUAACCCAGGAGAUAAACAAAACAAAACCCAAUCCAAACAAAC
This 205-nucleotide long non-coding RNA is filed under the name Coffea arabica (coffee). RNAcentral describes it as "long non-coding RNA (CARA_LNC002858)". The record is from RNAcentral. Lineage: Eukaryota; Viridiplantae; Streptophyta; Magnoliopsida; Gentianales; Rubiaceae.